CUGCUGCCUCCCGUAGGAGUCUGGUCCGUGUCUCAGUACCAGUGUGGGGGACCUUCCUCUCAGAACCCCUAGACAUCGUCGCCUUGGUGGGCCGUUGCCCCGCCAACUAGCUAAUGUCACGCAUGCCCAUCCGUUGCCGGAAUCGCUCCCUUUGGCCGCAGGGCCAUGCAGCCCCGCGGCGUUACGCGGUAUUAGACGGGAUUUCUCCCGAUUAUCCCCCUGCAACGGGCAGGUCGCAUACGCGUUACUCACCCGUGCGCCGG
This 263-nucleotide ribosomal RNA is filed under the name uncultured bacterium. RNAcentral describes it as "partial 16S ribosomal RNA". The record is from RNAcentral.